This 477-nucleotide ribosomal RNA is filed under the name uncultured bacterium. Its description in RNAcentral is "partial 16S ribosomal RNA". It matches the Rfam family "Bacterial small subunit ribosomal RNA", at positions 28 to 506 of the family's 1533-position model. The record is from RNAcentral.
GAUGAACGCUGGCGGCGUGCUUAACACAUGCAAGUCGAACGGGAAACCUUUUAUUGAAGCUUCGGCAGAUUUAGCUGGUUUCUAGUGGCGGACGGGUGAGUAACGCGUGGGUAACCUGCCUUAUACAGGGGGAUAACAACAAGAAAUGGUUGCUAAUACCGCAUAAGCGCACAGGACCGCAUGGUUCGGUGUGAAAAACUCCGGUGGUAUAAGAUGGACCCGCGUUGGAUUAGCUAGUUGGCAGGGUAACGGCCUACCAAGGCGACGAUCCAUAGCCGGCCUGAGAGGGUGAACGGCGACAUUGAGACUGGGACACGGCCCAGACUCCUACGGGAGGCAGCAGUGGGGAAUAUUGCACAAUGGGGGAAACCCUGAUGCAGCGACGCCGCGUGAAGGAAGAAGUAUCUCGGUAUGUAAACUUCUAUCAGCAGGGAAGAUAGUGACGGUACCUGACUAAGAAGCCCCGGCUAACUACGU